AGAAUCAACGCUGGCGGCGUGCCUAACACAUGCAAGUCGCACGAGAAAGGGACUUCGGUCCUGAGUAAAGUGGCGCACGGGUGAGUAACACGUGAAUCAUCUACCUUCGAGUGGGGAAUAACUGAGAGAAAUCUUAGCUAAUACCGCAUAAUACCCACGGGUCAAAGCAGCAAUGCGCUUUAGGAGGGGGUCGCGGCAGAUUAGUUAGUUGGCGGGGUAAUGGCCCACCAAGACAGUGAUCUGUA
Molecule: ribosomal RNA, 245 nt
Filed under: uncultured bacterium
Lineage: Bacteria
Description: partial small subunit ribosomal RNA
Rfam family: Bacterial small subunit ribosomal RNA
Source: RNAcentral